GAUGAACGCUGGCGGCGUGCCUAAUACAUGCAAGUCGAGCGAACAGACGAGGAGCUUGCUCCUUUGACGUUAGCGGCGGACGGGUGAGUAACACGUAGGUAACCUACCUAUAAGACUGGGAUAACUUCGGGAAACCGGAGCUAAUACCGGAUAAUAUUUCGAACCGCAUGGUUCGAUAGUGAAAGAUGGCUUUGCUAUCACUUAUAGAUGGACCUGCGCCGUAUUAGCUAGUUGGUAAGGUAACGGCUUACCAAGGCAACGAUACGUAGCCGACCUGAGAGGGUGAUCGGCCACACUGGAACUGAGACACGGUCCAGACUCCUACGGGAGGCAGCAGUAGGGAAUCCUCCGCAAUGGGCGAAAGCCUGACGGAGCAACGCCGCGUGAGUGAUGAAGGUCUUCGGAUCGUAAAACUCUGUUAUUAGGGAAGAACAACAGUGUAAGUAACUGUGCACGUCUUGACGGUACCUAAUCAGAAAGCCACGGCUAACUACGUG
RNAcentral lists this ribosomal RNA (497 nucleotides) under uncultured bacterium. RNAcentral describes it as "partial 16S ribosomal RNA". It matches the Rfam family "Bacterial small subunit ribosomal RNA", at positions 28 to 507 of the family's 1533-position model. The record is from RNAcentral.